GAGGGUAUAGCUCAAGUGGUAGAGCGCACGCUUAAUAUGCAUGAGGUCCUGGGUUCAAUCCCUACUACCUCCU
Molecule: transfer RNA, 73 nt
Filed under: Camelus bactrianus (Bactrian camel)
Lineage: Eukaryota; Metazoa; Chordata; Mammalia; Artiodactyla; Camelidae
Also listed under: 2 other names
Rfam family: tRNA
About the family: Transfer RNA (tRNA) molecules are approximately 80 nucleotides in length. Their secondary structure includes four short double-helical elements and three loops (D, anti-codon, and T loops). Further hydrogen bonds mediate the characteristic L-shaped molecular structure. tRNAs have two regions of fundamental functional importance: the anti-codon, which is responsible for specific mRNA codon recognition, and the 3' end, to which the tRNAs corresponding amino acid is attached (by aminoacyl-tRNA synthetases). tRNAs cope with the degeneracy of the genetic code in two manners: having more than one tRNA (with a specific anti-codon) for a particular amino acid; and 'wobble' base-pairing, i.e. permitting non-standard base-pairing at the 3rd anti-codon position.
Source: Rfam by way of RNAcentral